AGUCGAGAGGUCCUGCGCCGAAAAUGUCCGGGGCUAAAACACGACACCGAAGCUUAGGAAUAUACAUUGUAUAUUGGUAGAGGAGCAAUCUUAACGGGAAGAAGCAGUACUGUAAGGUGCUGUGGACUGUUAAGAAGAGAGAAUGCCGGAAUGAGUAGCGAGAUGGAGGUGGGAAUCCUCCAGGCCGAAUAUCCAAGGUUUCCAGGGUAAAGCUGAUCUGCCCUGGGGAAGUCGGGGCCUAAGGCGAGGUCGAAAGACGUAGCUGAUGGACAACAGGUUGAUAUUCCUGUACUAUCAUAUGACAGAACUGUGGGGACGCAGAAAGAGAGCCUGAGCCGGGAAAGGGAAAACCGGUGCAAGCGGGGUAGGAGUCGUGUAGGCAAAUCCGCACGGCAAUCCGAAGACGUGAUGCGGAGCGAAUUAAAGUAGCGAAGCAGGUGAGCUGGCUGCCAAGAAAAGCCGCUAUUGUUCAUAUGAUACCCGUACCGUAAACCGACACAGGUGGAUGAGGAGAGAAUCCUAAGGCCGGCGGAAGAAGCAUUGUCAAGGAACUCGGCAAAAUGACCCCGUAACUUCGGGAGAAGGGGUGCCUGCGAGAGCAGGCCGCAGAGAAUAGGCUCAAGCAACUGUUUAGCAAAAACACAGGUCUAUGCGAAACCGAAAGGUGAGGUAUAUGGGCUGACGCCUGCCCGGUGCUGGAAGGUUAAGAGGAGAGGUUAGCGCAAGCGAAGCUUUGAAUUUAAGCCCCAGUAAACGGCGGCCGUAACUAUAACGGUCCUAAGGUAGCGAAAUUCCUUGUCGGGUAAGUUCCGACCCGCACGAAAGGCGUAAUGAUUUGAGCACUGUCUCGACAAUGCAUCCGGUGAAAUUGAAGUACCAGUGAAGAUGCUGGUUACCUGCGCCAGGACGGAAAGACCCCAUGGAGCUUUACUCCAGUUUGAUACUGGGAUUCGGUACUGCAUGUACAGGAUAGGUGGGAGACGAAGAAGGAUGGACGCCAGUCUGUCCGGAGUCGCUGUUGGGAUACCACCCCUGUAGUACUGGGUUUCUAACCAGUUACCAUGAUCUGGUAAUGGGACAAUGUCAGGCGGGGAGUUUGACUGGGGCGGUCGCCUCCGAAAGGGUAUCGGAGGCGCUCAAAGGUUCCCUCAGAAUGGUUGGAAACCAUUCGAAGAGUGCAAAGGCAGAAGGGAGCUUGACUGCGACACCGACGGGUGGAGCAGGUACGAAAGUAGGACUUAGUGAUCCGGUGGUAUAAAGUGGGAUUGCCAUCGCUCAACGGAUAAAAGCUACCCUGGGGAUAACAGGCUUAUCACUCCCAAGAGUUCACAUCGACGGAGUGGUUUGGCACCUCGAUGUCGGCUCAUCGCAUCCUGGGGCUGUAGCAGGUCCCAAGGGUUGGGCUGUUCGCCCAUUAAAGCGGUACGCGAGCUGGGUUCAGAACGUCGUGAGACAGUUCGGUCCCUAUCCGGCGCAGGCGGAGGAUAUUUGAGAGGAGCUGUCCUUAGUACGAGAGGACCGGGAUGGACGGACCACUGGUGUAUCUGUUGGCUAUCGGAGCCAUGGCAGAGUAGCCAAGUCCGGCAGGGAUAAACGCUGAAGGCAUCUAAGCGUGAAGCCCCCCUCAAGAUGAGUUAU
This 1638-nucleotide ribosomal RNA is filed under the name human gut metagenome. RNAcentral's name for it is "bacterial LSU rRNA". It matches the Rfam family "Bacterial large subunit ribosomal RNA", at positions 1147 to 2812 of the family's 2925-position model. The record is from RNAcentral.